AGUGAACGCUGGCGGUAGGCCUAACACAUGCAAGUCGAACGGCAGCACAGUAAGAGCUUGCUCUUACGGGUGGCGAGUGGCGGACGGGUGAGGAAUACAUCGGAAUCUACUUUUUCGUGGGGGAUAACGUAGGGAAACUUACGCUAAUACCGCAUACGACCUACGGGUGAAAGCAGGGGAUCUUCGGACCUUGCGCGAUUGAAUGAGCCGAUGUCGGAUUAGCUAGUUGGCGGGGUAAAGGCCCACCAAGGCGACGAUCCGUAGCUGGUCUGAGAGGAGGAUCAGCCACACUGGAACUGAGACACGGUCCAGACUCCUACGGGAGGCAGCAGUGGGGAAUAUUGGACAGUGGGCGCAAGCCUGAUCCAGCCAUACCGCGUGGGUGAAGAAGGCCUUCGGGUUGUAAAGCCCUUUUGUUGGGAAAGAAAAGCAGCAGGUUAAUACCCCGCUGUUCUGACGGUACCCAAAGAAUAAGCACCGGCUAACUUCGUG
This 492-nucleotide ribosomal RNA is filed under the name uncultured bacterium. Its description in RNAcentral is "partial 16S ribosomal RNA". It matches the Rfam family "Bacterial small subunit ribosomal RNA", at positions 29 to 507 of the family's 1533-position model. The record is from RNAcentral.